Rosa chinensis is the source of this 1359-nucleotide long non-coding RNA. RefSeq lists it as uncharacterized. Lineage: Eukaryota; Viridiplantae; Streptophyta; Magnoliopsida; Rosales; Rosaceae. The record is from RefSeq and is a predicted model, not a curated record. The transcript has 9 exons.
UAAAUACGGAAUGAUUAGACGAAAAUAAAAAUUUCCAAAGGUUAGCACGAUCUCCUCGAAGAACGACUGCCAGUUGGAGACUGAAGACGGACGUGGGAGAUGCUCGGAGUAGAGAUGGCUUCAUCACUAUUCACCCCACUCUCCAUUUACGGUUCAUAUAAAAGGAGAAAAGGGAAAGAGGAGCAGAGCAAAGUUAAACCCAGAAAGAGGAAAAAAUCGGUGGUUGCAGAUAAGAUAUUGUGUGCAGAGCGGAUUCUCAGUCAAACCCAAAAGGCAGAGUAAAAUAGUUAUGAACUCAGGCGAUAGUGUUGCAGAUUCAGUGGAGUAAGACUUGAUAAUUGUUUCCAGAUUUUGAACAAAUCUCUACCCACCAAUUCUAUUUGGAAUAAAUCAAGCUUAAUGGCUUCAAAAAGUUUGGAGUGAGGACCGGGAUUAUUUUGGUAACCCGUGAUUGAAAAGCAAGAGAAAAAGAAGAUAAGUGAAGGAGAAGGAGACUGUUAAAGUUUAGAGCUAAGAGUUUUGAUGGGAAUGGGAUUCAGAUUCCUGUGUUCUUACGGAAAUUAGUCCAAUCAUAGACCUAUAAUAACUCAGCCAGUGCUUCAGCAACAAGUCCUAACGACUCAUGGACCAAAUGGAGCAUGUACGUGCUCGGCAUAGUAGGAAAGUGCGACUGUCAAUGAGUUUUUCACAACGCCGAGCAUAUUUGGCCCGACGACGUGCAAUAGCUCAAGGAAAGCGACCAAUGGUGGAAACUAGAUCAAGCAACAAAACUGAACAAGCUCCAUUUUUUUCUAUUUGUAGGAAAUGUACGGGCUAGGCACCCUCAACAAAAGAAAAAGUUUCAAAGAAACGAGGGCUUUAGGAGACGUGUUUCCGUGUUCUCAUCUGGUUGGCGGAUGGGACAAUCAGUAAAAAUGAACACCGCUUAUCUUAGUGAGCUGAUUUUGAAAGAGUGGAAGAAAAAGAAGCAUGCACAUUGGCGCUACAAAAACGCACGUAGAGAGUUGAUGACACACGAUAUUUGUCACAUUAAACGAACUUGGAGAAAGGUUUUGCGCAUUAGUUCUACAUCAAAUGUUUUGAGGAUUUGAAACAUGAUAUUGAGAACUCUUCCGAUAAUUGGAGUAAGGGUGUUGCAGUAAGAAAAUUAGCCAACUUCAUGUUUGGGCAACGACUAUUGACAAAUGGAUGGCUGAGAUGGAGUUGAUUCGAGCAUGGGGAUUUUAUUGAACAAAUAUGUAUAUAGGCAUGUAUAUAAGUUCCUUUUUAAAAAGUAUGUUUUUAUUGCAAACAUUUGUAUAUACCAGUGCAUAUUUUUGUAUGAAGUUUAAUGUUUUUUACUAAUGAAUUUCUAAAACC